UACGUAGGGUGCGAGCGUUAAUCGGAAUUACUGGGCGUAAAGCGUGCGCAGGCGGCUUUGCAAGACAGAUGUGAAAUCCCCGGGCUCAACCUGGGAACUGCAUUUGUGACUGCAAGGCUAGAGUUCGGCAGAGGGGGAUGGAAUUCCGCGUGUAGCAGUGAAAUGCGUAGAUAUGCGGAGGAACACCAAUGGCGAAGGCAAUCCCCUGGGCCUGUACUGACGCUCAUGCACGAAAGCGUGGGGAGCAAACAGG
This 253-nucleotide ribosomal RNA is filed under the name uncultured bacterium. RNAcentral's name for it is "partial 16S ribosomal RNA". It matches the Rfam family "Bacterial small subunit ribosomal RNA", at positions 524 to 776 of the family's 1533-position model. The record is from RNAcentral.